This 762-nucleotide ribosomal RNA is filed under the name uncultured Mycoplasma sp. Its description in RNAcentral is "bacterial SSU rRNA". It matches the Rfam family "Bacterial small subunit ribosomal RNA", at positions 105 to 883 of the family's 1533-position model. Lineage: Bacteria; Bacillati; Mycoplasmatota; Mollicutes; Mycoplasmatales; Mycoplasmataceae. The record is from RNAcentral.
GGUGAGUAAUACAUAUCUAACAUACUCUGAAGAAGGGGAUAGCCGUUUGAAAAAGCGAUUAAUACCCUAUAAUUAGCCCCCCGCAAAAGCGGGGGGCUUGAAAGGAGCAAUCCGCUUUAGAAUUGGGAUAUGGUCUAUUAGCUAGUUGGCGGGAUAAAAGCCCCCCAAGGCGAUGAUAGAUAGCUGGAUUGAGAAGUUGAACAGCCACAAUGGGAUUGAGAUACGGCCCAUAUUCCUACGGGAAGCAGCAGUAGGGGAUCUUCCACAAUGGGCGAAAGCCUGAUGGAGCAAUACCAUGUGAACGACGAAGGUCUUAUUGAUUGUAAAGUUCUUUUAAGAGGGAUAAAACAAGAUGGUACCUCUUGAAUAAGUGACAGCAAACUAUGUGCCAGCAGCUGCGGUAAUACAUAGGUCGCGAGCGUUAUUCGGAUUUAUUGGGCGUAAAGAGAGCGCAGGCGGAUGGAUAAGUUCUGUGUGAAAGGUAGCCGCUCAACGGUUACUUGCGCCGAAUACUGUCUGUCUAGAAUACGGUAGGGAGGUUCGGAAUUGAAUGUGGAGCGGUGGAAUGUGUAGAUAUAUUCAAGAACACCAGAGGCGAAGGCGGAACCUUAGGCCGAUAUUGACGCUUAGGCUCGAAAGUGUGGGGAGCAAAUGGGAUUAGAUACCCCAGUAGUCCACACCGUAAACGAUGGAUAUUUGAUGUUGGGAGUUGAGAGUCUCAGCGUUGUAGCUUACGUGUUAAAUAUCCCGCCUGGGCAGUAC